UACAAGGAGACCUACCCUUUCACGUUGUCUUAGACGACGAUGAAAAUGGUCAACUAGGUCGUUCGAAGCUUUCCAUGCAGACUAACUUGUUUAGUUUGUGAUUUACUGUGCUUCUAAACUAUCCCGGUUCAGGGAUGGGGGCUAUUAGCUCAGGUGGUUAGAGCGCACCCCUGAUAAGGGUGAGGUCCCUGGUUCGAGUCCAGGAUGGCCCACUCCAUUUGUAUGGGGGUUUAGCUCAGUUGGUAGAGCGCCUGCUUUGCAAGCAGGAUGUCAGCGGUUCGAGUCCGCUAACCUCCACUGAGUGAGUCACUCAACUUGAGAUGUGGGGACGAGACAGCAACUUAUCUACUAGUUUAGUAAGAGUAGAGAGACUGCUGGGCAUGUUCCCAGUAAAAGAACCAAGAAAACUGCAUAGUAAGUUGUCAGGUAGAAAUACACAGACACCAAUGUAAAUGGACUACGACUGAUUGAAAUAAUUAGU
This 481-nucleotide transfer RNA is filed under the name Leptolyngbya sp. WJT9-NPBG2. RNAcentral describes it as "16S-23S ribosomal RNA intergenic spacer". The stretch from base 225 to 297 matches the Rfam family "tRNA". The record is from RNAcentral. Lineage: Bacteria; Bacillati; Cyanobacteriota; Cyanophyceae; Leptolyngbyales; Leptolyngbyaceae.